UUGCAGGUUAAGUUACGUAGCAGCUGUUGUAGUGCUGCUCUGUCGUUCCCCCUGCACACAGAAAAUGUUACCUACUAUCCCUGUCUGUCUGCAUCCUUCGACUGGCAGGGACGCUUGGUCUCAGACAU
This is a small nucleolar RNA of 128 nucleotides. Its record names the gene SNORA63. It matches the Rfam family "Small nucleolar RNA SNORA63". Rfam says of the family: E3 belongs to the H/ACA class of snoRNAs and is involved in the processing of eukaryotic pre-rRNA and has regions of complementarity to 18S rRNA. The record is from Ensembl.